CUGGAGGGGGUGUUGGGGCCUUACCCCUUACCUCCUCCCUUCUCCCCGCAUCAAGUCCGUGUUAAUGACUUUCAUUCCUAAUUGGGCUGGAUAUUGAGUUCUCUGGACCUCAGGCUCUUUGAGGAUGGGGCGAAGUCUCUGACACUCCCCUCUGUGUCCCCAGGACCAGGCAUAUAAUCUGCUCCACAGAUGUUUGCUGAAUGGACCACCUUCAAGUUAACUUGCAUCCCUCGGAGGCUUGGCUGCUGGAGCAGAAGCACUUUGGGCCUGUUCUUCCUAAAUCCCAGGGGAGGGAGUGGUUGGCUUGAACCCACAGGCUGAGAUUCUUUCUCCUACUGCAGGGGAAGCUGCUCGUGCAGAACCUGGCACACUGAGCAUUCUCUAGAAUAGACAGUACAGCUGGGUGGUCAGAGACCAAUGUUGGAGGCAGACAGACCUGGGUUCAAAUCCCAGCUCUGCUGGACCAGCUGUUGCCUUGAACAGCUCUCUCCCAGAGUUUGAGCCCCAGUUAUCUCAGCUCAAAAACAGGAAUAAAAACCUACCUCGUGAUGGUGGUAUGAGAAUUAAAUAAGUGAAGUGCCUACUACAGAGCCAGGAGAAGAAGAUACCUUUUCUCUUUUUUAAUGAGUAGUAAAUACUUGUUGAGAGAGUGAAUGCGCAUCUCUAGAACCGUCUGGAAUCUGGCUACUCCUGGAUCUUCUUCAGGUUGCUGCAUGGGAUUUGCAAAGAACUGGGGACCUUCUGCCAUGAGCAGCAAAGAAGGGUGGAGAUUGGGGCAGAAUUUGGAGUCUGGGAGGUGUCUUGGACUUGUGACCAAAGGUUCUCUCUGAACCUCAUCCAUGUCCUGGGAAUAAUAGAACCUGUAUCAUUGGGUUGUUCUAAGGAUUAGCUGAGAUAAUAUGUGUAUAAAAUGCUUAGAACUUGGCAUACUGGUAAGUAUUAUUUUUUGUCAUUGUUUUACUCUGCUUUCUGAAGAUGCUUAGAAAUACUUCAUCCUUCCAAUAUUGUUUUUUAAAUUCUCGUAUAUUUAUUUAGGGUUUUUUUCUUUUUAGUGUUUUUCUUUCCAAUUUUGCUAUUUAAUCCAUCUGGCACUUAUUGUUGUGUAUUUUUCCAGAUAGCCCACUCUUAUCUAUUUCUAAAUUUUGUUUAUUUGUUUUGCCACAUCUCUUUAUUUAAUCAAACUUUGCCGAGAGAGUUGGAACCCUCACCUGCAGCCUCAGUGCCCUCCCUCCCCUGAGGUACCAGCAAUCUAGAAUUUGGUGUUUAUAAUUCCCAGACAUGUUUUAUAAUAAUACUGUAUAUGGAUGAAACCACAACUGUCCCAAGGGAUUCUUGCAACUUACAUUUUGUCCUUUAAAAACUUAUUUUGUCAGAGUUUCAGGCUUACAGAAAAGUUGUAAGACUAGUACAAAGAAUUCCUAUAUCACUUUCACCCCAAUUCCCCAAGUGUUAACAUUCCCAUGUCUGCUUCCCCUCUCCCCCACUCCCCCCCCAACUCUCUACCGAAUUCCUACCAUUUGAGACAAAAUUGCAGGCAUAAUAGAUCUUUACCCAUAAAUAUCUCAGGAUGUAUUUCCUAAAAACAAGGAUAUUUGCUUAUAUAAGUACAGUUCAGUGAUCAAAAUCAGGAAAUUAACUGGGGGGGGGGGGUUACUAUUCACAAGUCUCAAACCUUAUUCCUGUUUCACCACCUGUUUCAAUAAUGUUCUCUAUACAAAACGAAACCCCUGGGUCACAAACUGAAUUCCCCCGUCUGUCUCUUUAGCCUCUUCAGGCUGGAUCACUUCUUCAGUCUCUCCUCUGCUCUCCUCCCCUCCCCUCUCUUCCACCCCUCUCCCCUCUCCCCUUCCCUCCUCCCCUCUUUCUUUUCUUUUCUUCCCUCCCCCCGCCCCCACACCUGUGGCAUACGGAAGUUCCCACGAAAGGGAUCAAGCCAAGCCGUGCCACUGCAGGGACAACGCUGGAUCCUUAACCCAGUCUGCCACAAGAGAACUCUGAGUCUUUUGUCUUUUGUGACUUUGUCUUUUAAUUAAGUACUUAUUUAUUUACUUAUUAGCAUGGACUGAUUGUUGUAUAAAAUAUCCCUCCGUUUGAGCACGUCUCAUGUAUCCUUGAUAUUAGAUUCAGGUCAGGCCGUCUUUGCAGGAAUACCUAGAAGUGUCCGUGGGACCUUCUCAGAGCACAGCAGCAGGAGGCAUUACUGUCGGUAGCAGGUAGUCUGUCCUCUGCCCACUGACUUGAAAUGACAUGUUCACAGUUGUCUAAAUUCUCCCUUAUACAUAACUCUGCCUCUGAACUUCUUUUAAAUUGAUCAGUUCACCUAAUUCUCUGCCAUCACCCCCCCCCACCCCACCCAGUUAUUUUAAGUACUGUACCUUCCAACUAUACUAGGUUUGCUUCCUGGUCUUUUAUAUCUUUUACUCGUGGAAAUGGGAUUCUUCUUUCCAUUAUGUUUUCAUCUUUUUUUGUUUUUAUCCCAUUAUAUUUUCUAAUUGAUUGUUGUUGGUGUGUAAGAAAGCCAGCCACUGACUUGUGAAUAUUUAUCCUGUGUUUGGUGACCCUGCUGAAUUCUCUUUUGUUCUAAUAGCUUUUCAGUGAUUCUCUCGGGGUUUUUUUUGGGGGGGAAUGUAGACAGCCAUUUCUGCAAAUACUGGCAGGUUUGUCUCUUCCUUUUCUAUAUAUUUACGCUUUUAUUUUCUUUUUUCCAGCCUUUUUACAUUGGCUAGGAUUUCCAGAAUAAUUUUAAAUAAUAUGAUAGUGACACUGGGCAUUCCUGGUUAUUCCUGACUUUAAUUGGAGUAGCUCUGGCAUUAUAUUAGUAAGUGUUUGAGGGAGGUUUUGGAGUGAUAUCCUUCAUGUGGAGGUUUUUAAAAAAUUCCUAGUGAAUUAUGUUGAUUUAAAAAAAAAUUUUCAAAAUCCAGAUCUAAGUUGGUACUUAUUUUUAGGGUUGCGUUUUGUAAUUUAGUGCCACGUCUUAUUUGCUAACAUUUAUGUAGGAAUUUUGGGUCUGGAUUUCCAUAAGAUUUCUCUGUAAUUUUCUCUUUUAAAUGAUCUUUGCCCAGGUUUAAUAGCGUACGUUGGCUUUGCAGCAAGAAUUGCAGUGCUGCCUUCCCCCCCCCCCCCGCCAAAAAAAAAAAUUCAGAGAAUAUAAUCUGUUUAUUGAGGAUUUGGUAGAAUUUGCCAGUAAAAUUAUUUGAACAUUGCCAGUAGUUUUAUAAUUGAAAUUUCUUCCUCUGAUUCUUGGUCUCUUUUUCUAUUUCCUCUUGAGUCAGCUUUGGGUCAUUUUUAUUAUUUAGAAACAUCUAUUUUGUAUGUGUUUUAAAUACAUAUAGUAAUAAAAAGUCUUCCUUCCUUUUAACCUUUUUUAUUCCUCUUACUGAUUCUGUACUUACAGUCACCUUCUCAUUUCUUAAUAUUGUGUGUGUGUGUGUGUGUGUGUGUGUGUGCGUGUGUGUGUGUGUGUAUGUGUGUGUGAGAGAGAGGAAAGAGAGAGAGAGAGGGAGAGAGAGAGACCCUGUUGCAUAUGGAGCUCCUGGGCCAGGGAUCAGAUCCAAGCUGCAGUUGCAACCUACACCACAGCUGUAGCACCUCUGGACCCUUUAACCCACUGUGCCUGGCUGGGAAUCACACCUGCGUCCUGGUGCUGCAGAGACACUGCCAAUCCUAUUGAGCCACAGCGGGAACUCCUCAUGUUUUAAUAUUUUAAAUUUAUUUUUUAUAUUCUUGGCCAGACACAUGGUGGGGACGGAUGGGGUUAGCUAUUUUAUUGCCAGUUUCAGAGGACUUGCCCUUGCUUUUCUUGUCAAGUCUUUUGUUUUCUAUUUCUUUAACUGCUGAUUUUUUAAAAUUCAUUUUCAACUUUCUUUUGGUCUCUUUCAGGUUUUUUCAUCACUUCUUUUUGAGGACUGUUUGGAAGUAUCCCGUGGGUUUUGCUAUAUAGUACUCUCAUUGUUCAUUUUUAAACAGUCUGCAGUUUGUUUUAAUUUCUUUUUUAAAAAUACUCCUCUAAAUAACCUUUGGGUUACAUUUCCAAGUAGUUAAAUUUUUUGUGGCUCUCUUUUUGUUUAAUUUUUAGUUUUAUUGCUUCAUGGUCAGAGAAUAUGGCCUGUGUAAUUUCUAACUUAAAAAAAAAAAAUUGUUGAGGUUUUCUUUGUGGCCCGUCACAUGAUCAGUGUGUAAUUGUUCUAUGGAUUUUUGAAAAGAUGUGCAUUGUUUUAUAAAUACAUAUAAAAGUAUAUUGAACUGACUAAUUGUUUUUCAAGUCCUUUCGUGCUCCUCCCUUUUGAAUCCUCAUGAUCUGUCCAUUUCUGGGAAGUAUGCUACAGUCUCCUAGUAUAACUGAUUGGUUUUUUACAUUUCUCUUUGUAUCUUCAACAGUCUUUGCUCUGUAUAUGUAAUGGAUAUGUACUGUUCUUUUAGUGGUUAAAAAAAUCUUUUUGUCCUUUGUAAUUCUUUUUUUCCCCCCCUCAUGGAGUCUGUUACCAUUUCUGCUUUUUAUUGACAUAUGCCUGGUGUCAUUUUGUUAACUCCUUAUUUUUUUUAAAAAAAAAAAAAACCUUUUUUUAAAAAAAAAUGAGUGACAGCUUCAUGCGAAGUGGCAGAUAGUUCUCAUGUGCCCUUCCCCCAGCUUUCCUCAAUGAUAGCCUCUCAUGUCAUCAUAAUCCCUUCUAUUUUAACCUUUCGGGGUCAUUUUGGUUCAGCAUCCAGCCUGCCCUGCGUCCUCCCCUCCCCCAUCUGUGAUACGCUGUUUUUUAAUAGGGGAAUUUAUGGACCAUGCAUAUUUAUCAUGUUUGCUUAAGUUUCAGUUUCCUUCUGCCACCUUGUUUUGCUUUUGGUUUUCCAUGAUGUUGUUUUUCCCUCAUACUGUUGGAUUGCCAAAGUUUUCUUUAGUCUCCAAUUGUCCUUAUUUCCAUUUUUUUAUUCUUUCCCUUUCUACUCCUGCUGCUUGAAAACCCGCCACCCCGAUCCUUUCUACCGAUUCGGAAGUCCUGGUCUUAUUUCUCAUUUCUUACGCUUAAGUUUUUAACAAACAUAUUUAAACUUGAGCAAGAAUGAAUUAGUAUGUCUAAUUACCCUCAAAGAGUCCCCACCCACACACAAAUAUUUGACCUUGAAAUGUUCUUAUGCUCUCCUUAUCCUCUCCCUAUCAUCUGUUCUUGGUUCAUAUGAUAUGGAAUUUUAUUUCCAGCUUUAAAAAAGUUCUGCAUCGUGUCUUUGGGAAUUACACACGAGCUGCCUGGAGCUUCACAGCUACAUUUUCAGUCGCUCUUUAGACUUAGCUCUACUGUGUUGAAUUUCUUUCUCUUCCUUUUAAAAUUCUAUCUGAUGUCUUCUUCUUGGAUUCAUUUUCCUUCGUGAUUUUCCGAAAAGGUGCUGGGGUGGCCCCAGAAUCUUUGUGUGUCUGAAGAGGUCAUUCUCUUUCCUCUCACUCGAGCAAUGGGUUGGUUUGCCGUUGAGUUCUAGGUUUGAAGUCCUUUAUCGCAGAACUUUAUAGGCCUGAUACUCUUGUUGUCUGCCCUGGAUCUUGCAAAUGAGAAGUCUUAUGCUAGCCUGAGUCUUGUUUCUCUAUAGGUUUUGGUUUGUUUUUGUUUUUGUUUUUGUUUUUUAACCCCUCUGUGGAAGCAUUUAAGGAUUCCUCUUUAUUUUGAGAGUUGGGAAAUUUCAUCAGGGCGUGUCUCAGUAUCUUGUUUCAUUCUCCUUCUCAGCACUUGGCGCUUUCGAUUGGAAAACUCCAGCGUUUAUUUGUCUUUUGUCCUUCACUCUGGGAAGAAGAGUGCACGUUGGAUCUCCAGGGUGGAGAGAUAGUGAGGCCCUGGCCAUCAGAUGGCUUGGGAUGUCAGCGCAGCUGGACAGCUGGUCGACCCUCUACCGUUUCUCACCUGGAGAAGGCAGAUGAGAACAGCUCCUGUCACACAGAGUUGUUGGGAGAUGACAUCAGACCCAGCUAGAGAAACAUUUGGGAGUGUCUGUUAUGGAAUAAGUGGUCGAGAGUGGGAGAUGCUCUUUGUAUAAUUUCCUGGAGACAUCAGAGGUGGGGGAAGGAUUGGGCUGUUGAGCUGGACUUUGAAGAAUGUAUAAGACAGGACCUUCUCUGAGCCUCUGUCUCUCUUGUUAAAAUGAUGGAUGGAGUUCCCAUCAGGGCUCAUCAGAAACAAAUCUGACCAGCAUCCAUGAGAACUUGGGUUUGAUCCCUGACCUCAUUCAGUGGGUUAAGAAUCCGGCGUUGCCAUGACCUGUGGUGUAGAUCGCAGAUGCGGCUCGGAUCCCGAGUUGCUGUGGUUGUGGUUUAGGCUGAUGGCUACAGCUCUGAUUCGACCCCUAGCCUGGGAACCUUCAUAUGCCGCGGGUGUGGCCC
RNAcentral lists this long non-coding RNA (6355 nucleotides) under Sus scrofa (pig). Its description in RNAcentral is "lncRNA (ENSSSCG00015018069.1)". Lineage: Eukaryota; Metazoa; Chordata; Mammalia; Artiodactyla; Suidae. The record is from RNAcentral.